CCUACGGGUGGCAGCAGUGAGGAAUAUUGGUCAAUGGGCGGAAGCCUGAACCAGCCAAGUCGCGUGAGGGAUUAAGGCCCUGCGGGUCGUAAACCUCUUUUGCCGGGGAGCAGUGGUCCGGACGCGUCCGGACCGGGAGAGUACCCGGAGAAAAAGCAUCGGCUAAGUCCGGGCCAGCAGCAGCGGUAAUACGGGGGAUCGGAGCGUUAUCCGGAUUUAUGGGGUUUAAGGGGUGCGUAGGCGGUCAUUUAAGCCGGCUGUCAAAUGUGGGGGCUCAACCCCGGCCUGCCGUCGGAACUGGGUGCCUUGAGUGGGCGAGAAGUAUGCGGAAUGCGUGGUGUAGCGGUGAAAUGCAUAGAUAUCACGCAGAACCCCGAUUGCGAAGGCAGCAUACCGGCGCCCUACUGACGCUGAGGCACGAAAGUGCGGGUAUCGAACAGGAUUAGAUACCCGGGUAGUC
This 460-nucleotide ribosomal RNA is filed under the name uncultured bacterium. RNAcentral's name for it is "partial 16S ribosomal RNA". It matches the Rfam family "Bacterial small subunit ribosomal RNA", at positions 338 to 795 of the family's 1533-position model. The record is from RNAcentral.